UCGCAUCGCAGAGAAAAAUAAAUAAACUUUAAAGUAAACGCGUUAAGAACGUAAUUCCUUUCCUUUUAUUUGGUAUUUUGCCGCGAUUUUUGUCUAAUUAUGAGUGAAAAUAAAGUAAUUUUGUUAAACCAAAACGUCGCACAUGAUAUGAUUGAUAAAAUAAUAGAGAUGAAUGGAAAUGGAAAGAAAAGUGAAGUAACACGUGUAGAAAUAGAGGAACACGAGGAGUAUCAAUAUUUGAAUUUGAUUAAGAGAGUAAUUAAAACAGGAGCUGAAAAGAAUGAUCGAACCAGCAUAGGCACAUUAUCUAUCUUUGGAACUCAUAUGCGAUUUAAUUUGCGAAAUAAUGUAUUUCCACUAUUAACUACAAAACGAGUAUUCUGGAAGGGAGUGGUAGAAGAAUUGUUAUGGUUCAUAAAAGGAUCAACAAAUGCCAAAGAAUUAUCAGAGAAGAAUGUUCAUAUUUGGGAUACUAACAGUUCACGUGCGUAUUUAGAUUCUUAUGGAUUCACUGAUAGGGAAGAGGGAGACUUAGGACCUGUUUAUGGAUUUCAAUGGAGACAUUAUGGAGCAGAAUACAAGGAUAUGCGCGCUAAUUAUGAGGGACAAGGUAUCGAUCAGUUGAAAGAAGUUAUAGAGAAAAUAAAACAUACUCCCAAUGAUAGAAGAAUAAUAAUGUCAGCAUGGAACCCACUUGAUAUUCCAAAAAUGGCUUUACCUCCGUGUCAUUGUUUUGUACAGUUUUAUGUAAGCAAUGGGGAAUUAUCGAGUCACUUGUAUCAAAGAAGUGCCGACAUGGGUCUUGGGGUACCAUUCAACAUAGCAUCGUAUUCCCUCUUAACUUAUAUGUUAGCUCACAUUACAAAUUUAAAGCCAGGUGAAUUUGUACAUACAAUGGGUGACUGUCAUGUCUACCUUAAUCACAUAUCUGCACUUGAAGAACAAAUUAAACGUGUGCCAAAACCAUUUCCACAAUUAAAAAUAGUUAGAAACGUUGAAACUAUUGAUGAUUUUAUAGCCGAAGAUUUUAAACUAAUCGGAUAUGAACCACAUGCAAAAAUACCUAUGCCAAUGGCUGUUUAAAUCAUGGUGCAAUCAAAUUGCACCAAGAUGAAUAAAAUUAUAAUUGAACAGUACCAGUUCUUAAUGUGGUCCAUACAUGCCUGUUACAGUUCUAAAUUUAACGAUCAUAAAUCAUAAGUGUUUCAUUUUACAUUACAGAGAAAAAAACUAAAAAGAAUGUUUCAAGGAUGUAACUGACAAGCAUGGACGAUAAAAGGCCUUAUGUAUGGAACUCCUAAUUUAAUAAAAUCGUUAUUUCUAUACAAUAUUUAAA
Osmia bicornis bicornis is the source of this 1336-nucleotide RNA transcript. It is a transcript of the gene named thymidylate synthase, with no coding region annotated. The record is from RefSeq and is a predicted model, not a curated record. The transcript is spliced from 5 exons. NCBI's taxonomy places the organism in Eukaryota, Metazoa, Arthropoda, Insecta, Hymenoptera, Megachilidae.